UACGAAGGGGGCUAGCGUUGCUCGGAAUCACUGGGCGUAAAGGGUGCGUAGGCGGGUCUUUUAAGUCAGGGGGUGAAAUCCUGGAGCUCAACUCCAGAACUGCCUUUGAUACUGAAGAUCUUGAGUUCGGGAGAGGUGAGUGGAACUGCGAGUGUAGAGGUGAAAUUCGUAGAUAUUCGCAAGAACACCAGUGGCGAAGGCGGCUCACUGGCCCGAUACUGACGCUGAUGCACGAAAGCGUGGGGAGCAAACAGG
RNAcentral lists this ribosomal RNA (255 nucleotides) under uncultured bacterium. RNAcentral's name for it is "partial 16S ribosomal RNA". It matches the Rfam family "Bacterial small subunit ribosomal RNA", at positions 524 to 776 of the family's 1533-position model. The record is from RNAcentral.